ACAAUGAAGAGUUUGAUCCUGGCUCAGGAUGAACGCUAGCUACAGGCUUAACACAUGCAAGUCGAGGGGCAUCAGGAAGAAAGCUUGCUUUCUUUGCUGGCGACCGGCGCACGGGUGAGUAACACGUAUCCAACCUGCCCUUUACUCGGGGAUAGCCUUUCGAAAGAAAGAUUAAUACCCGAUAGUAUAAUGAUUCCGCAUGGUUUCAUUAUUAAAGGAUUCCGGUAAAGGAUGGGGAUGCGUUCCAUUAGGUUGUUGGUGAGGUAACGGCUCACCAAGCCUUCGAUGGAUAGGGGUUCUGAGAGGAAGGUCC
Molecule: ribosomal RNA, 313 nt
Filed under: Bacteroides hominis
Lineage: Bacteria; Pseudomonadati; Bacteroidota; Bacteroidia; Bacteroidales; Bacteroidaceae
Description: bacterial SSU rRNA
Rfam family: Bacterial small subunit ribosomal RNA
Source: RNAcentral